GAUGAACGCUGGCGGCGUGUCUAAUACAUGCAAGUCGAGCGAACAGAUAAGGAGCUUGCUCCUUUGACGUUAGCGGCGGACGGGUGAGUAACACGUGGGUAACCUACCUAUAAGACUGGAAUAACUCCGGGAAACCAGGGCUAAUGCCGGAUAACAUUUAGAACCGCAUGGUUCUAAAGUGAAAGAUGGUUUUGCUAUCACUUAUAGAUGGACCCGCGCCGUAUUAGCUAGUUGGUAAGGUAACGGCUUACCAAGGCAACGAUACGUAGCCGACCUGAGAGGGUGAUCGGCCACACUGGAACUGAGACACGGUCCAGACUCCUACGGGAGGCAGCAGUAGGGAAUCUUCCGCAAUGGGCGAAAGCCUGACGGAGCAACGCCGCGUGAGUGAUGAAGGUCUUCGGAUCGUAAAACUCUGUUAUUAGGGAAGAACAAAUGUGUAAGUAACUGUGCACGUCUUGACGGUACCUAAUCAGAAAGCCACGGCUAACUACGUG
Molecule: ribosomal RNA, 497 nt
Filed under: uncultured bacterium
Lineage: Bacteria
Description: partial 16S ribosomal RNA
Rfam family: Bacterial small subunit ribosomal RNA
Source: RNAcentral